Molecule: ribosomal RNA, 468 nt
Filed under: uncultured bacterium
Lineage: Bacteria
Description: partial 16S ribosomal RNA
Rfam family: Bacterial small subunit ribosomal RNA
Source: RNAcentral
GACGAACGCUGGCGGCGUGCUUAACACAUGCAAGUCGAACGGAAAGGCCCGGCUUUUGUGGGGUGCUCGAGUGGCGAACGGGUGAGUAACACGUGAGUAACCUGCCCUUGACUUUGGGAUAACUUCAGGAAACUGGGGCUAAUACCGGAUAGGAGCUCCUGCUGCAUGGUGGGGGUUGGAAAGUUUCGGCGGUUGGGGAUGGACUCGCGGCUUAUCAGCUUGUUGGUGGGGUAGUGGCUUACCAAGGCUUUGACGGGUAGCCGGCCUGAGAGGGUGACCGGCCACAUUGGGACUGAGAUACGGCCCAGACUCCUACGGGAGGCAGCAGUGGGGAAUAUUGCACAAUGGGCGGAAGCCUGAUGCAGCAACUCCGCGUGCGGGAUGACGGCCUUCGGGUUGUAAACCGCUUUCGCCUGUGACGAAGCGUGAGUGACGGUAAUGGGUAAAGAAGCACCGGCUAACUACGUG